GUUAAUACUGAAUAAAGUUUUAUCAAACAAACUAAAAACUGUAUUUUUAUGACUUUUACAGUUGUUAAAAGAUGAUGCUGCGUAAGAUUAGGUUGUUGGUAGUGUUUAAAGACUACCAAGCCAUCGAUCUUUAGUUGAUCUUAGAGGAUGAUCAACCACACUGGAACUGAGACAAGGUCCAGGCCUAACUUUGGCCAGCAGUGAGGAAUAUUGGACAAUGAACGAAAGUUUGAUCCAGCAAUACUACUUGAAUGAUUGAAGGCCUGUUUUUGGGUUGUAAAGUUCUUUCGGUAA
Molecule: ribosomal RNA, 294 nt
Filed under: alpha proteobacterium IS0505
Lineage: Bacteria; Pseudomonadati; Pseudomonadota; Alphaproteobacteria
Description: partial 16S ribosomal RNA
Rfam family: Bacterial small subunit ribosomal RNA
Source: RNAcentral